GAUGAAGAACGUAGCGAAACGCGAAAGGUAAUGCGAAUUGCAGAAUCAGUGAGUCAUCGAAUCUUUGAACGCACAUUGCGCCCCUUGGUAUUCCAUGGGGCAUGCUUGUUCGAGCGUCAUUUGUACCCUCAAGCUUUGCUUGGUGUUGGGUGUUUGUCCUUGCCUUUGCGUUUGGACUCGCCUUAAAUUCAUUGGCAGCCUAUAUAUUGGUUUGAAGCGCAGCACAUUUUGCGAUUCUUUCUAGUACUGUUAGCGUCCAUAAAGCACAAUUAACACUUUUGACCUCGGAUCAAGUAGGGAUACCCGCUGAACUUAAGCAUAUCAAUAAGCGGAGGA
Molecule: unclassified non-coding RNA, 336 nt
Filed under: soil metagenome
Description: partial contains 5.8S ribosomal RNA, internal transcribed spacer 2, and large subunit ribosomal RNA
Rfam family: 5.8S ribosomal RNA (bases 1-119)
Source: RNAcentral